AAAAUGGAUGGCGCUGAAGCGCUUGAACCCACACCCGCCAUCGGGCGAGCCAAGCCCGAUGAGUAGGAGGGGCGGUGGUCGCCAUAAAACCUGUAUAGCGAGCCCCGCAGAGCGCCAUCGGGUGCAGAUCUUGGUGGUAGUAGCAAAUAUUCAAAUGAGAACUUUGAAGGUCAAGAGGGGAAAGGUUCCAUGAACGGCACUUGCACAUGGGUUAGCUGAUCCUAAGGGGACGGGGAAGCCCGUCCGAGAACGUCUCGAAGCGAAGCCCGGAAGGGAAUCGGGUUAAAAUUCCCCGAGCCCGACGCGACGGCGGACGGCAACGUUAGGAAGGUCGAGACGCCGGGGGGCUCCGUGAAGAGUUGUCCUUUUCGCUUAACGGCCCGCACUCGAAACGCUCACCGUAGGUAGGGUCCAGCGGUCGGAAGAGUGCCGCACAUCGCACGGCUGCUCGUCACCAACCCGGUCCGAUGAGCUAAUCGUCCAUUAACUCCAUUUUGGUCCUUGCAACCACGGACCAAAAUGCUUAAGCUGACGUUACGUAGUACACAUCAUCGCCCUUAUAAGUUAAUCACUCACAUUCCCCACUUCCGAUGUGGGACUAAUGGGAUGUUACAUUAUCCCCAACUCAAUUAGCUUGACGCCCUCGCGCCAAGGCCAGACAUAACCCAGAUCGAACCCUAGCAUAGUGCAUGUGAGGAUUAACUCGAUGGUGGCUCCACGCCCCGGAUGAGUUCUCGACUCCAUCCACGGGGUAGCCCUUUCCCUACCGAGCCCUCUCACCCCUGCCCAAAUGCUAGGGGGCUCGAUACCAAAUGUCACGAAUUCGGUCCGAUGAGCUAACUGUCCAAUAACUCCAUUUUGGUCCUUGCAACCACGGACCAAAAUGCUUAAGCGGGAUGUUACAUUAUCCCCAACUCAAUUAGCUUGACGUCCUCGUCAAGGCCGACAUAACCCGAUCGAACCCUAGCAUAGUGCAUGUGAGGAUUAACUCGGUGGUGGCUCCACGCCGUGAUGAGUUUCUCGACUCCAUCCACGGUAGCUCCUUUUCCUACCGGAGCCUCUCACCCCGCCCAAAUGCUAGGUCGGCUCGAUACCAAAUGUCACGACCCCGGUCCGAUGAGCUAAUCGUCUAAUAACUCCAUUUUGGUCCUUGCAACCACGGACCAAAAUGCUUAAGCUGGACUUCGUGAGUACACUCAUCGUGCCCUUAUAAGUUAAUCACACACAUUCCCCACUUCCGAUGUGGGACUAAUGGGAUGUUAGCACCCGGCGCCUUCUGCCGCCCCUUGUUUGAAAAUGAGGAGGACCGUGCCGCUCAGCCGGUCAUACUCAUAACCGCAUCAGGUCUCCAAGGUGAACAGCGACCCGCCCAUGGAACAAUGUAGGCAAGGGAAUUCGCAAAACGGAUCCAGAACUUCGAAAAGGAUUGGCUCGAGGGCUAGGCACGGGGUCCCGCCCCAACCCCCGGCUUUGUUGGACUGCGGAUCGCCGAAGCUGCUCGCGGGCGAGGCGGUCGCCGCGUCGGGCCGGGAUGGACCGAAUGGCCCCUCGGGAGUUUUCCCGGCGCCGAACAGCCGAUCAAGAACUGGUAACGGACAAGGGGAAUCCGAUUGUUUAAUUAAAACAAAGCAUUGCGAUGGUUCGCGAUGCUCACGAAUGUGAUUUUCGCCCGCUCUUUCGAAUGUCAAAGUGAAGAAAUUCAACCAAGCGUGGGUAAACGGCGGGAGUAACUAUGACUCUUUAAGGUAGCCAAAUGCCUGGUCAUCUAAUUAGUGACGCGCGAUGAAUGGAUUAACAAGAUUCCCACUGCCCUCGUUUACUAUCCAAAUAAAACCACAUCCAAGGGACGGGCUUAGCAGAAUCAGCGGGGAAAGUAGACCCCGUUGAGCUUGACUCUAGUCCGACUUUGUGAAAUGACUUGAGAGGUGUAGGAUAAGUGGGGAGCCGGUUCACCGCGGAAGUGAAAUACCACUACUUUUAACGUUAUUUUACUUAUUCCGUGAGUCGGAGGCGGGGCCCGCCCCUCCAUUUGAUUCCAAGGCCCGCCCUUUAGCGGGCCGAUCCGGCGGAAGACAUUGUCGUGGGGAGUUUGGUGGGCGCACAUCUGUUAAAAGAUAACGCAAGUGUCCUAAGAUGAACUCAACGAGAACAGAAAAAUCGCGGUGGAAAAAAAAGCAUAAAAGCUCGUUUGAUUAUGAUUUCCAGCAUUUAAUACAAACCGCGAAAGCGUGGGCCUAUCGAUCCUUUAGACCUUCGGAAUUUGAAGCUAGAGGGUGUCGAAAAAGUUACCACAGGGUAACUGGCUUGUGGCAGCCUGCCGCUCAUAGCGACAUUGCUUUUUGAUCCUUCGAUGUUGGCUCUUCCUAUCAUUGUGAAGCAGAAUUCACCAAGUGGUGGAUUGUUCACCCACCAAUAGCUUAACUUGAGCUGGGUUUAGACCGCCGUGGAGACAGGUUAGUUUUACCCUCACCGAUGAUCGUGGUCGCGAUAGUAAUUCAACCUAGUACGAGAGGAACCGUUGAUUCACACAAUUGGUCAUCGCGCUUGGUUGAAAAGCUAGUGGCGCUGGUUACCAUGUGUCGAUUAUGACUGAACGCUUCUAAGUCAGAAUCCUUGCUAGCAACCGGCGCCCGCUGUCGUUCGCCUCCCGACCCACAGUAGGGGCCUUUGGCUCCCCAUGGGCUCGUGGUCGCCGGUGUAGCCCUCGUGGUGGUAUAGCCACGGGCGCCAUCGGGAAGUGAAAUUCGCAUGGACGAUGGGGCAAUCCUUUGCAGACAACUUAAAUACGCCGAUGGGGCAUUGUAAGUGGUAGAGUGGCCUUGCUGCCACGAUCCACUGAGAUCCAGCCCCGCGUCGCGACGGAUUCGCCCCCCCCCCCCCCC
RNAcentral lists this ribosomal RNA (2882 nucleotides) under Musa schizocarpa. Its description in RNAcentral is "eukaryotic LSU rRNA". It matches the Rfam family "Eukaryotic large subunit ribosomal RNA", at positions 1315 to 3401 of the family's 3401-position model. The record is from RNAcentral. Lineage: Eukaryota; Viridiplantae; Streptophyta; Magnoliopsida; Zingiberales; Musaceae.